AUGACUUUGAUCUGCGUCCUCAUCUGGACUCUCCUCUGCUGCUGCUUCACAGAGUCCAGAGGACAGAUCACAGUGACUCAGCCUGGAGCAGUGAGCUCUGCUGUGGGAGGAACUGUGAGCAUCAAGUGUAGGACCAGUCAGGAUGUUUAUUACAACAACUAUAUGUUCUGGUACCAACAGAAAGAUGGAGGAGUUCCUAAACUGCUCAUUACCUAUGCUAGCACUCGACAAUCAGGGAUUCCAGCUCGUUUUACAGGCAGUGGAUCAAACUCUGACUUCACUCUGACCAUCAGUGGAGUCCAGGCUGAAGAUGCAGCAGUUUAUUACUGUCAGAGUUUUCACUCUACUAGUCAGUAUGUGUUCACACAGUGA
Molecule: non-coding RNA, 372 nt
Organism: Maylandia zebra (zebra mbuna)
Lineage: Eukaryota; Metazoa; Chordata; Actinopteri; Cichliformes; Cichlidae
Source: the annotation of a RefSeq genome assembly